GAUGAACGCUGGCGGCGUGCCUAAUACAUGCAAGUCGAGCGAACAGACGAGGAGCUUGCUCCUCUGACGUUAGCGGCGGACGGGUGAGUAACACGUGGAUAACCUACCUAUAAGACUGGGAUAACUUCGGGAAACCGGAGCUAAUACCGGAUAAUAUAUUGAACCGCAUGGUUCAAUAGUGAAAGACGGUUUUGCUGUCACUUAUAGAUGGAUCCGCGCCGCAUUAGCUAGUUGGUAAGGUAACGGCUUACCAAGGCAACGAUGCGUAGCCGACCUGAGAGGGUGAUCGGCCACCCUGGAACUGAGCCACGGUCCAGACUCCUACGGGAGGCAGCAGUAGGGAAUCUUCCGCAAUGGGCGAAAGCCUGACGGAGCAACGCCGCGUGAGUGAUGAAGGUCUUCGGAUCGUAAAACUCUGUUAUUAGUGAAGAACAAAUGUGUAAGUAACUAUGCACGUCUUGACGGUACCUAAUCAGAAAGCCACGGCUAACUACGUG
Molecule: ribosomal RNA, 497 nt
Filed under: uncultured bacterium
Lineage: Bacteria
Description: partial 16S ribosomal RNA
Rfam family: Bacterial small subunit ribosomal RNA
Source: RNAcentral